Molecule: long non-coding RNA, 5062 nt
Organism: Haemorhous mexicanus (house finch)
Lineage: Eukaryota; Metazoa; Chordata; Aves; Passeriformes; Fringillidae
Exons: 4
Source: RefSeq, a predicted model, not a curated record
GAGCACGGAUCAGCCCCGUUGUGCUCCUCCCGGCCUUGGCUCGCGGGGUUUGGAUGUGAUGGCCCGAGCCAGGAGGUUUCAGGGAAGUUCCCUGUGUGCCUCCUGAGCUCAGAGGGAUCCUCAGCUGCUUCUGCAGCCCUUGUGAAGCUGUGAUGUUAACCUCCAUGUCCUGGCCACGUCCCAAAAAUGGGGCCCUGGCAAUACCUGACACCAAAGAGCCAGAGAUUUCAAAGGCUGCAGCGGGAGCAGAAGGCAUCCUCUGGAACACACCGCCAGGAACUGCCAGUUGAUACAGAUGUAUUGAUUUAAUCAGCCUGGAUGACAGCAUUUAUUUAUGCAAAACAGCUGUGACAAAAACGUGGCACUUUGAAGAAUUCUCCCUGGGGUGUUGCUUCCUUGCUGAGGUUCCCUGAGUGAAGCAGCAUUCAAGAAAUUUGAUGAUCACCAAGAGGAUAGUUUGGAAAGCUGUUAUCUCUGUGGUUGAUUCAGCUCCAUCUCCCCUUCUGGAGCCUCAUAAAGGACCAAUUUUCCACUGCCAUGUCCUAGAACCAGCAGAGAUCAAGUGUUCUCCUCAUUGGUGAUCACAUCCCCUUCAUGCAUGGAGAUUUUUUCUGACUUAUUGUGACUUUUCCUGAGUAAUUGAAGCUUUGCCAGUAAUUCAUCUCCUGUGUUUUUCCCCAGUGUUUUCCCCCAUCUGCAAGCCCAGUGCACAUUUUGUUUGCUGUGUCCUCCAACGUAUCCAUGCAGAAAUUGGAUAAAGCCAGGCUUAACGCACUUCCCUCUCCGAGCAGCACCUCCUUCAUCUCCUCAAACGUGACAUCUCAAACUUUCUCCUGGUUUGUGGUACUUCAGCCAAUGCAGAGACCACAGACAAGUACUCAUAUCCAGGCCAGACUGAGUCAAGCUUUCAAUUCAGAUUUUAUGGGACUAUCAAACGCUUCACUAGAACACAGAGAUAUUUGCCCAGAAACCAUCGUAGAUGUUUUCAUCUUCCUGCUCAGGCAAUUAGAGUUGGAGGAGCUGGUUGCAAGAUUGUGAAUAUCUCUUAUGGAGGUCUCUGCUGGUUUAGAGCCAAAAGGAAUGUUUUUAACUGAGCUUUGCUCCCUGCUUAAAAUGCCCUGAGCUCCAAGAGCUGUAUCAGCACACUGGAGUUUGGUAGUCAGAGGAAAUCCGGGCACAACUCCUUGACCUGUGAUUUUCAGAUUUUCAGAUGCAAAGUAAGGUGAGCCUGGUCACCAAAUCAACCCCAUCAGUGCCCUACUGUGCAUUAAAUACCUCCAUUUGCCUCUUGGUGGCCCUGCACAGGUCGUUGGAGCCAAGACUGGCAGAGGGACUUGAUGUCCUCCCAUUUAGACCUGGCCCUACAGCACCUGUGGGCUGCCCUGGGUCACCUCAACCCAGAGCAAAGGAAAUCAGGACUGGGAAGGGAGAAGCUCAAGACCUGAGGCCGCUCUGUGUUGGCUUGUCAUCACCUGACUUAAUAGUUAACAUUAUUAUUACAUUUAAGAGAGAACAUAAGGAAUGCAUUUGUCUGGAAUUACUUAUCACUUGGAAGUCUGGGCUCGCAAGGAGAUACGAACAGCUUUAGCAGGUCAGGCUGGGAGCCCAGGCCAAAUAACCUCCUCUCUGCAGCAGCAGUGAGAGCCCAGCAAAGAGCACAAAUGUAGGUCAGUCCUACAGCAGUACUUCCCCCAAAACACUUGCCCAACUCACGGUGGUUUCUGGCUCAGGCACUUUCUGAACCAGACAUGGAGCCUUUCUGUUUAAUACAAAACCCAGAUGGAUUUUAAAAACCUCUGAUGAGUUUUUCUUUCACAAAUUCAUCCAGUAAGCUUUUAAUGCUCCCAGGAUCCCGUGGCAAGGAGUUCCACGGGAUGACGAAGCACGGUGUGGAGGGUUGUUCCUGCUCCCUUGGAACUGCCAGCCACCAGCUUCCUUUCAUGCUUCUGAGUUCUGUGUUAGAGGCAGAAACAGCAAACAGCUGCUUUCUAUUCUCUUCUUGUCAUUCCCAAUUCCUGAGAAGGCCAUCAGAUCCUCUCACUCAUCCCUCUUCUGGCUGAAGAAACAGAAUCAUUUUAAUUGUUCUCACUGUGAGGACUAAAUCUUUGAUUACCCUUGGCACCACCCUCUGUGUUCCAGCUUGAUUAGUUCCUUUAGGAGCUGGGAGAUUGCAGGUAUUCCAGGUGAAGAUGCAACAAAAUUUAUAAAAUAAGACUUUCCUUCCUGUCUAUCUAUCUAUCUAUCUAUCUAUCUAUCUAUCUAUCUAUCUAUCUAUCCAUCCAACUAUCUAUCUAUCCAUCCAUCUAUCUAUCUAUCCAACUAUCUAUCUACCUAUCUAUCUAUCUAUCUAUCUAUCUAUCUAUCUAUCUAUCUAUCUAUCUAUCUAUCCAUCCAUCCAACUAUCUAUCUAUCCAUCCAACUAUCUACCUAUCCAUCCAUCUAUCUAUCUAUCUAUCUAUCUAUCUAUCUAUCUAUCUAUCUACCUAUAUAUUCUUCAUUUCUUAAUAGUUUCUAAUAUUCACUUGGCUUCCUGAGAGCCACAGGUCCAAGCUAUUUCCCAGGAUAAUCACCCUCCAUUUCUCCUCAAAGGUUAGGGUUAGUUUAGAGUCUAAGAGUCGAGGUUACUUCAGAGCAUUUCCAGCACCCUCCUCCCCCGUGUACAUCACUUGACAUUUAUCUGUCCUGAAUUUCACCUGAAGUUUUCUCACUCAGCCACGAACUUCCAGAUGGAUUUUUGGCAUCCCAUCACAGUCACCUUUCAUCUUUAGCCCCUGAAUAGUUUAGUGUUAUCAGCAGGGUGGACUCAUCAGUCUGUCUCCAUCCUCACAUGAAGAUUUCUUCUCCAGUUUUCCUCAGUUUGACACUGGAUCCUAAUCCAUCUGUCAAGUGGAGUGACCCAUACAGAACUAUGCCAUUAGUGGCUGCUGAAACGCCUUGGAAAGCAUCUUUCCCUGCUAGGAUGAGUGAUGUGGGAAGAGAAGUAGAAAGAAAUUUCCUCUUAUUCCUGGAAAUAAAUGACAAUUGUUCUAAAAGUCUGCAGACGUCUGGCUAUUACAUCAUCCAAGGCUCUGGAGCUUCCAGCCAGCAGUCCCUUAACAAAGGAGAUGCAUUUCCUUCAAGGAAUUCCACCAUUUACACAUCUGAUAUUAAUUCUUAUUGGGCAAAAACAAGAAUAGGCACGAGUGACUUUUCCAGUUGAUGUUUACUUUUUCCCAGGCCACAAAACAUCCAUUGACUGUGAAACUUCAAUUUGCUGCAUAACAAAUGCCUGCUUUUGUAAUGGGUUAAUAAAGCUGCUUCACAAAUAACAGCACGAGAAGCUACAGAUGUUGACCUAAGGGGGGAAAAAAAUAAAUACAAGCAACAUUUGGGUUUAAUUUGAUUAUUUAUUAAAUAUUUAUCGCAGUAUCUGAGAAUGGAAGGAAUUUCAUUCUGCCCAGCUGGUCAUUCUGGGCUGUUGAAGUCAGCAAAGAGAUGGCUGGCAAGAAGGAGAUCUUGUGACUCCUGGGAGUUCUAAAUUGCACUUUGAGGCUGCAAUUUGGUUCUUUGCUCCUAUUUCCCCAUCCUUGAGGCAAGAAGGGUGUUUCUUUGCUCACUUACAUGGGAGAAAACUUUAAUUUAGAAAGUGUGGAAAGCACAGAUAUCCAAAAUCUCAGUAGCCCUGCACAAGCUGGGUGAUCAUGGAUGAAAUGAGCCAGGAGAAAACCCUUGAUCCUGGAGUGUGAGGGCUUGUAGGUCUUGGGGUGAUCCCUGGGAUCCAGGCAUUCCCUGGGAGCUCUGCUCACAUCCCUGUGCUCACCCAGCAGAUUUUCUGGAUGUGGCUGAGCACACAAGGGAAUAUUUGGGCUGGGAAGGGGAAUUAGAUGUUGAUUACUGUGUAAAUAUUGCCCCCUCUGAAGGGAGCAGUCUGUGUUUGGGCAGGAUCAGAUACUCUCUGCUCACAGUUUGAGGCACAUCAUGAGUUAUUUUGUGUUCCUGCCAUUGGGAACACGAUUUCACUAUUGCAAAGGGCCAGCUGAGGUAAAGGGCAGGGAAAGGCAUUGGGAUGCCCUGUGGCCACAGCCCGUUGUCCAGCUGGAAAAUCCCUAUUUUCUGCUGUAACACAACCCAGCCAUCAGCCAUUUUCCAGGGCAGCUGCUGGGUGGAAAGGGCAGGGACAUCUGGAUAUUGCCAGGGAAGUUCUCUCUGCCAUGCACCAAGCCUUCUUGCUCCUUUAUGGAGUCUGAGAAGCUGAGAUUUGAGCUUUAUUCCUGCCUGGGAAGGCUUUAUUCCUUCCCUUUCUCCAUGUCCAGUAGGGUAAUAAAGCCAAGACACGAGAAAUUUGGCCAAUGUUGUGUUCCAUGCCAGGGUCCUGUAUUUAAAGGCUGUGCUUUGGAAAUAAACCUUCUUUAUUUUUUUCCUAUCAUUUAUCCAAAUCCUGGUAUUUUUCCUGAGCAGCAUCUGUUGCAGGGAGAAGUCAGUGGGUGUCAGUGUCAUUCAGGAUCAGCCCAGGACAAGCAGGGCUCUCCUACGUCAGAGCUUUCCAGGGUUUUACCACAUUUGGAGCAGAGAUCUGGCACGGGUCGUUCUUCUGCAUCUUCUGUGGGUGUCACCGAGACAGAACACAGAAAGCUUCAGCUUGCAAUAAAUCCCCAGAUGUGCUAAGUGCCACACAAUGGAAAUCCUUUCAGCAGACUGUCAGGAGGAAGAGACUUCACUGGGAGUAGGGAAGGGCAGCUGCCUCUCUGGUGAAUUUGGCAGAUUGGGUUUUACAGCUGCUCCCCAACCUAUUACAAUUCAUUUCUCCAUCCCCAUCCCUGCUGCAGACAGAGCUGGGCUGAGGCAGACCUCAGCACAAGGAGCUGCAUCCUCUCCAGGGGUGCUGGAGCUGUGACAGCAACACCAGUGCUGAGAGCAGUUUCUGAGAGUUUAAGGAUUUGGGCAGAUAUUGUAACAAAAAUAUUUCUGCUCAUGCGAGGACAUGUUUUUUUAAGCCCAAAAAAAUCAGAUAUUUGGCAUUUUCUGAGUUGCCACCCUCCAGAAAGAACAGCAGCUGCCUGGGUCAGGAUCAAGUGUGUGGAAA